Molecule: long non-coding RNA, 273 nt
Filed under: Homo sapiens (human)
Lineage: Eukaryota; Metazoa; Chordata; Mammalia; Primates; Hominidae
Description: HSALNT0179139
Source: RNAcentral
GAGGGAAACAGUCCAAGCAGAGGAAAUGGCAUGGCUAAAGCCCUAGUGAAAAAGAGGCUAAUGUGGCUGGAAUAGAGAGAGAACCAAGGAAGACUGGCUUCCUGAGAUUUAAGGGAUAGGUAAGGGCAGAGCUCCAGUGACCCUUCAUGAGAAGAACAUGUCUGCGGUAGCCACUGGUCCAAGGAGAAUGAGGAAAUAUGUAGAGCAGCUUUGAACCUAAUCAGCAGUCUGAAGUCAAGCCCAGUGGAUUCCAGCCAAGCACAGCAGAACCAC